Molecule: non-coding RNA, 718 nt
Organism: Nylanderia fulva
Lineage: Eukaryota; Metazoa; Arthropoda; Insecta; Hymenoptera; Formicidae
Source: RefSeq, a predicted model, not a curated record
UAAGAAUUUUUAGCAUGUCUUUUAUCGCCUCUGACGUCACAAUUCCAACAUGAUCAGCGAGGAACCAGGAGCCUUAAUAAACAAUGUAGUACUAAAGAAAUUAGAGUAUAAGACAAACUAUAUCCUGAAGACUAUUUGGUAGACGACGACAUCUUGCAUUCUGUACAGCUAUCAUGAAAAAAGAAAACUCACCAUGGAACAAACUUAUAUAAGGAAUUAGACGAAAGAUUACUUUCUGCAUAAUGUGUAGUGGUGGGUUCAGCCAGACGAAACUGUGUAUUAUUUCACUCGAAGAUCAAGAAUAAUAUCCAUAAUGUAGAAUCCCAAGAUGUUUCCUGCAAUGGAUGCACUACGAACAACGCGACAGUGGAAAAGAAAAAUGAACAAAAUAUUAUAACGCGAAAGAGCGAUUUCGGUGCUGGCGCUUCUAGUUUGGAUGAAUCUAAUGUAUUCGGCAAUUGUUGUCUAGAUAUCUCAAUCGAGUAUUGAUCACCAGCAAAAGCUUUGAUAAAAGUAUUACUCAACAAAUUCAUUAUUAACGGCACACCGUGCAGUGCUGUGCCAGAAUAAAAACCGUUAGCCGAUAUCGUGCUGUUUUCAGUGGCAUUAAAUUCGGCAGAUACGAUAAAGUGGUUACGGUAUUCUGCGAUAUCCCGCAGAGAAACAUUCAGAAGAGCUGUAAGAACCAAAAUACUAAUAAAACUAUUGUUUAAUAUAA